This 221-nucleotide long non-coding RNA is filed under the name Lathyrus oleraceus (garden pea). RNAcentral describes it as "Pisum sativum (pea) long non-coding RNA (PSAT_LNC018049)". Lineage: Eukaryota; Viridiplantae; Streptophyta; Magnoliopsida; Fabales; Fabaceae. The record is from RNAcentral.
UUUAGACAAAAACGUUUCAUUCAAUAUAAAAAAAUCAUAUUAGGCAAAAGUGGAAUAAAAGACAAAUAUAAAUAGUAGCAUAAAAUAAUAUCAAAGACAUUAUAAUAAAACAUACAAAAAUAUAUGAGAUGAGAGAUUAGAGAAGAUGAAAAAAAGAACAUAAGAGAUGCGAGAUUAAGAAGAAAAGUGCAAUAAAAACGUAAUUGGAAGAGAAAAUAGUA